This 1476-nucleotide ribosomal RNA is filed under the name Triticum aestivum (bread wheat). RNAcentral's name for it is "partial small subunit ribosomal RNA". The record is from RNAcentral. Lineage: Eukaryota; Viridiplantae; Streptophyta; Magnoliopsida; Poales; Poaceae.
AUGGUCAAACUUGCCAAGAAAAAGGCAAAUGUGCAAGUGAGGGACAAAAUUUUGACACUCCUGGAUUCCUGGCAAGAAGCAUUUGGUGGGCCUGGUGGGAAGCACCCUCAGUUCUACUGGGCAUAUUCUGAACUUAAGCAAUCUGGUUUAGAAUUUCCUAGGCGCUCACCUGAGGCAGCAACAAUAUUCGCCCCUCACCUUCAACCAGGGAUCGGGAGUCCAGUCAAUUCAUCCUUGAGAGCUGAUGGGAUGAUUUCAUCUAGUGGCUCUCCUCUGAGUUUGUCAGACCUGCAACGCAUUUUAAGUGCCGCGGAGCUACUAAGUGAGAUGCUGAGAGAAGUGGAUCCAAAUGAUCAUGAGGCUGUGAAUGAUGAAAUUAUCGCGGAACUUGUGAACCAAUGCCGAUCAUACCAGAAAAAGAUCAUGAGUUUGGUUAGUUCAGUGAGUGAUGAGGACCUCUUGAGCCAAAGUCUGGACUUGAACGACAGAUUGCAAAUUCUGCUUUCCAAACACGAUGCAAUUGCAUCAGGUUCCCCUCUACCGGGUGAAGAAACGGAUGUGUUGAGUGAAUUACCCAGAGGGACCACUACAACCCCUGCAGUAACAGUUGUUCCCGAAACUGCCAUUGUACCAGCUUUUGUCUUGGAUGAUGAAGAGGAAGAGGAGGAAGAUGAUGAGUUCUCUCAGUUAGCUCGCAGGAAUUCGAGAUUCAGGUCAGCAAAUGACAAGAGCGCCUCUUCAGGCGUAGGCGCAUCAUCGUCGUCCACGCAGGAUGGAACGGCAAGCUCAGCAGCUUCUGUGACCACUACAGCAUCACCAUCUACUUCAAGCAGUGCAUUAGCAUUGCCUGAUCAUCUAGCUCCUAUAAAGACUUCUCCAGAAGACAAGAUUAUGAGCGACCUUCUUGCGCUCACCAUAGUGUCAGGCCCAUCACCUGAACCUGCCUUGCAUCCUGGUGGUUCCCCAACCAGUUAUCAUCCACAGCCUCAUUAUGUAGGCCCAGAACACACAGCUGCAGCGCACAAUAGCUACGUCGCUCCUUGGGCUCAGCAUCAACCUCAAACUGCACCCAUCAAGCAGCAGCAGCAGGAGCAGGCACCACCACCUCAACCACAAUUUCCUUACAACCCAUCUCCUUACCCGCCGCCACCAUGGGCCCCUCAGGACAACACCGAGUCAAACCCUUUCGUGGCAUCUUCAUCGCAGCAACUUUCAACCUCCAGCUCGCCUCUUAAAGUACCGUUGAACAUGAGGCCUCUACAGCAAUCACAAUCUUUCGGCGUACCGCUUCGAAGUGCUGCGUCAGAUUCACCGACAAACAAGAGCCUGAAGCAACCCAUGUCUGCAGGGUCUCGCCGGCCAUCUUAUGUUCCUUCUAACAAGUUCUUUGAUGAUCUGCUCGAGAGAAAUGCGGAUGGCACUCUGAAAACGGGCAGCACGGUAAUUGGAGGCACGUCCAGUCCAUACAAACCGUAG